RNAcentral lists this ribosomal RNA (468 nucleotides) under uncultured bacterium. RNAcentral's name for it is "partial 16S ribosomal RNA". It matches the Rfam family "Bacterial small subunit ribosomal RNA", at positions 28 to 507 of the family's 1533-position model. The record is from RNAcentral.
GACGAACGCUGGCGGCGUGCCUAACACAUGCAAGUCGAACGGAAAGGCCCUGCUUUUGUGGGGUGCUCGAGUGGCGAACGGGUGAGUAACACGUGAGUAACCUGCCCUUGACUUUGGGAUAACUUCAGGAAACUGGGGCUAAUACCGGAUAGGAGCUCCUGCUGCAUGGUGGGGGUUGGAAAGUUUCGGCGGUUGGGGAUGGACUCGCGGCUUAUCGGCUUGUUGGUGGGGUAGUGGCUUACCAAGGCUUUGACGGGUAGCCGGCCUGAGAGGGUGACCGGCCACAUUGGGACUGAGAUACGGCCCAGACUCCUACGGGAGGCAGCAGUGGGGAAUAUUGCACAAUGGGCGGAAGCCUGAUGCAGCAACGCCGCGUGCGGGAUGACGGCCUUCGGGUUGUAAACCGCUUUCGCCUGUGACGAAGCGUGAGUGACGGUAAUGGGUAAAGAAGCACCGGCUAACUACGUG